RNAcentral lists this ribosomal RNA (1794 nucleotides) under Eschaneustyla lugeri. RNAcentral describes it as "LSU rRNA". It matches the Rfam family "Eukaryotic large subunit ribosomal RNA", at positions 56 to 1839 of the family's 3401-position model. The record is from RNAcentral. Lineage: Eukaryota; Ciliophora; Spirotrichea; Urostylida; Urostylidae.
GUAAGAAUUUAACUAAGGAUUGCCUCAGUACGGCGAGUGAAGUGGCAAAAGCCCAAACUGGAAAUCUCCACGUUCCACGUGGCGAAUUGUAAUCUACAGGUGGGAAGCUCACCUGGACUGGGCGCAGAAGUGUCUUAGAACGGACCGCCAGAGAGGGUGACAGCCCCGUAUGUGGUGCCCGGACCUAACGAGCUCCUUCCGAAGAGUCGGGUAGCUUUGAAUUGCUGCCCUAAGCUGGGAGAUAGACUUCUUCUAAGGCUAAAUAUUUAUGGGAAACCGAUAGCGAACAAGUACUGUGAAGGAAAGAUGAAAAGAACUUUGAAAAGAGAGUUAAAAGACUUGAAAUCGUUGAGAAGGAAGCGGUAGAAAUUUAUUCUUCUGGUGGGAAUGAAGGCUUUCGCCUAACCAUCGGCCAGGGCCAGCACUUUAUAGGCUGCCUUGACCGCUUGGGGAAGCGAUUGCUGGAUUCCCACCGUGAGGCAAAAUGAGGUGUCACUCCUUCAUAAGCUUGGCAGACCUGGGCGUCUUCGGACGUCAGUCUGCCUUUGCUGGGAGGAGCGGCGCCUGAGGAAGCUUUGUGCGAUUUUGCCAAAAUGGUUUUUACCGACCCGUCUUGAAACACGGACCAAGGAGUCUAACACAUAUGCGAGUAUGCUGGUACAAAAACCAACAUGCGUAAUGAAAGUGAAUGAUGCCACUACAACUGCAGCAUCAACCGACCAUGUUCCUCUGGUUCAAGGUUUGAGUAUGAGCAUAUCUGUUAGGACCCGAAAGAUGGUGAACUAUGCCUGGGUAGGGUGAAGCCAGGGGAAACUCUGGUGGAGGCUCGUAGCGGUUCUGACGUGCAAAUCGAUCGUCAAACUUGGGUAUAGGGGCGAAAGACUAAUCGAACCAUCUAGUAGCUGGUUCCCUCCGAAGUUUCCCUCAGGAUAGCUGGGACAAGUACGCAGUUUUAUUAGGUAAAGCGAAUGAUUAGAGGCAUCCGGGGUAAUUUGCCCUGGACCUAUUCUCAAACUUUAAAUUGGUAAGAACUCUGGCCUUUCUUAAUUGAGGCACAGAGGAUCAAUGCGUGUCCCAAGUGGGCCAUUUUUGGUAAGCAGAACUGGCGAUGAGGGUUGCUCCUAACGUCGAGUUAAGGUGCCCAACUACACGCUCAUCAGAAACUACAAAGGGUGUUGGUUCAUAUAGACAGCAGGACGGUGGCCAUGGAAGUCGGAACCCGCUAAGGAGUGUGUAACAACUCACCUGCCGAAUGAACUAGCCCCGAAAAUUGAUGGCGCUUAAGCGUGUGACCGAUACUCGACCAUUGCAACGAGAGUGAUGUUGCAAUGAGUAGGAGGGCGUGAGCGUUGUUGCGAAGCCUCUGGCGUGAGCCUGGGUUGAACAGCGUUUAGUGCAGAUCUUGGUGGUAGUAGCAAUUAUUCAAAUGAGAACUUUGAAGGCCGAAGUGGAGAAGGUUUCCGUGAGAACAGCAAUUGGUCACGGGUGACUCGAUCCUAAGACAUGGGGGAAAUCCUUGUUAAGUGCUCCAUUUGGAGCGUAGUCGAAAGGGAAUGAGGUUAAUAUUCCUCAAGCUGGAUGUGGGUGUUGUAUGGUAACAUAAGUGAGCUCAGAGACGCCAGCGCGAGCCUCUGGAAGAGUUAUCUUUUCUUUUUAACAGUCUAACGGCCUUGAAAUUGGAUUAUCCAGAGCUAAGGCGGUAUGGCUGGAAGAGUACCUUGCUUUUCGAGGUAUCAGGUGCGCUCGCGAUGGUCCAUGAAAAUCUGAGGAAAUAAUUUCACCGCCCGGUUCCCU